Cherax quadricarinatus is the source of this 878-nucleotide long non-coding RNA. RefSeq lists it as uncharacterized. The record is from RefSeq and is a predicted model, not a curated record. Lineage: Eukaryota; Metazoa; Arthropoda; Malacostraca; Decapoda; Parastacidae.
AUACAUUACUCUUCAAAAUGGUGAGAUAUACCAACUUUGUUCAUUUUCACACAGUGAGAGAACAGUGAUUACAGUGACAAGCUAAGGGUAGGCCGAGGUUGGGCGAGUCGAACACAGUACUGCAAGGGUUUGAGUGAGACGGGCCAGUCGCCUUCAACAACCUGAGUUUCAAAAUACUGCGCUGAUUUUCCCUUUGCUUGAAGACGCCAGCACAACAGUCUCAGAUACUGUGUUUUGAACGACUUUCUUUCAGUGAACGAGAAGAAAAGGGUUAAAAAUAUCUGCCAUAUAAACGUCACGAUGAGAAGCUGCUGCUCUGUUGACUACCAAGGAGAAACUUGUUUUUAUGACCUCGAAAAAAAAAAUUAGGAAACCAGUCCCCAGAGCGAGAAACCUGAGCCCUGCCAAGAGAAAACGAGACAGGAAAUGAGUCACCAUUGUUGGAUUGAGGACAACGUGAGUGGCCUUUCCGCAUACGGAACGAGAGAGGAUCAAGCCACAAUGCACUCAGAUUGCAAUGCACUCAGAUUGCUAGGCUCGCACCUAUCAAAUGACGAGGGUCACAAAGACCGCAGCUCACCUUGACACCAGUUUAUAUUCACCUGAUAUAUACUACUGUAUAAACCAUAGUAUACACACCUUCAACGAUAAUAUGUUAAAAGAUACUGGAUAAAUCAACUGACUUUGGUCUUAUUCUAUUUGUUUAUUUGGUUUAAGCCCUACUGACUGCACGUGGGUCAUUAAGCCCGUAAUUCAUCAGUACGCCAUCAACCAUAUUUUUAUUCCUGAAAAAAAAGAGUAUUAAAGAAAACUCUUAAGUGUAUUUAUAUUGAGAGAUUCCCACCUCCCUUGUAUGUAUUCUGCGAUCAUUAACAUUC